RNAcentral lists this ribosomal RNA (253 nucleotides) under uncultured bacterium. RNAcentral describes it as "partial 16S ribosomal RNA". It matches the Rfam family "Bacterial small subunit ribosomal RNA", at positions 524 to 776 of the family's 1533-position model. The record is from RNAcentral.
UACGGGGGGGGCAAGCGUUGUUCGGAAUUACUGGGCGUAAAGGGCUCGUAGGCGGCCAACUAAGUCGGAUGUGAAAUCCCCAGGCUCAACCUGGGAACUGCAUCCGAUACUGGAUGGCUUGAAUCCGGGAGAGGGAUGCAGAAUUCCAGGUGUAGCGGUGAAAUGCGUAGAUAUCUGGAGGAACACCGGUGGCGAAGGCGGCAUCCUGGACCGGCAUUGACGCUGAGGAGCGAAAGCCAGGGGAGCAAACGGG